This is a non-coding RNA of Sus scrofa (pig), 499 nucleotides long. The record is from RefSeq and is a predicted model, not a curated record. NCBI's taxonomy places the organism in Eukaryota, Metazoa, Chordata, Mammalia, Artiodactyla, Suidae.
CACUGCAGACACAACCCCAUCAGCCACAAGCAAGACGGAGGAGAAAGGACGUGAAUGAGAUUUUCGGCCUCUUCUAAAAGAAGGUAGAAGUUUGAAAAACAGAGUUCUGGGAUCCUGACGCUGUCAGGACGCUGCCAGCUGCCAGCGGAAACGGUAAAAGGCAUGAAUGACGGAGGCGGGUGCCCAGAACACUUACCAGGACGAGACAGGUGUCCACCAGAGAAAAGGUGCCUGACCGCCCGAUGCCGGCACUACAGUGGAUCACCGCAGGCCCAUGCUCAGGAUCCAGGGAGCCAGACUCUCGCACUUUAAAUAAGAAAUUGAGAAAUGAAGCUGGUGAUUCGGGGACUCCGAAAUCUGGCCAGGACUGCUUUGGGAGAAGGGGCCACAGAAGCAACAUAAAAAAUCCCUGAUUUUCCAAUGGUGACCAGCUGCAGAUUAUUACUGUACCAGCCACCUUUCAAUACAAAUGUAAAAAUUAAAGUUAGUUUUCAGGGUU